AUUGAACGCUGGCGGCAUGCUUUACACAUGCAAGUCGAACGGCAGCGCGGGCUUCGGCCUGGCGGCGAGUGGCGAACGGGUGAGUAAUGCAUCGGAACGUGCCCAGUAGUGGGGGAUAGCCCGGCGAAAGCCGGAUUAAUACCGCAUACGACCUGAGGGUGAAAGCGGGGGACCGAAAGGCCUCGCGCUAUUGGAGCGGCCGAUGUCGGAUUAGCUAGUUGGUGGGGUAAAGGCUUACCAAGGCGACGAUCCGUAGCUGGUCUGAGAGGACGACCAGCCACACUGGGACUGAGACACGGCCCAGACUCCUACGGGAGGCAGCAGUGGGGAAUUUUGGACAAUGGGGGCAACCCUGAUCCAGCCAUGCCGCGGGCGGGAAGAAGGCCUUCGGGUUGUAAACCGCUUUUGUUCGGGAAGAAAUCCUCUGGGCUAAUACCCCGGGGGGAUGACGGUACCGGAAGAAUAAGCACCGGCUAACUACGUGC
RNAcentral lists this ribosomal RNA (485 nucleotides) under uncultured bacterium. Its description in RNAcentral is "partial 16S ribosomal RNA". It matches the Rfam family "Bacterial small subunit ribosomal RNA", at positions 28 to 508 of the family's 1533-position model. The record is from RNAcentral.